Molecule: ribosomal RNA, 254 nt
Filed under: uncultured bacterium
Lineage: Bacteria
Description: partial 16S ribosomal RNA
Rfam family: Bacterial small subunit ribosomal RNA
Source: RNAcentral
UACGGAGGGUGCAAGCGUUAUCCGGAAUCACUGGGUUUAAAGGGUGCGUAGGCGGCUAUGUAAGUCAGUUGUGAAAUACCUCGGCUUAACCGAAGGAAGUGCGAUUGAUACUGCGUAGCUUGAAUCAGGUUGAGGUAGGCGGAAUGUGGCAUGUAGCGGUGAAAUGCUUAGAUAUGCCAUAGAACACCGAUUGCGAAGGCAGCUUACUAGACUGUAACUGACGCUGAGGCACGAAAGUGUGGGGAUCAAACAGG